Molecule: transfer RNA, 65 nt
Filed under: Scaphidium formosanum
Lineage: Eukaryota; Metazoa; Arthropoda; Insecta; Coleoptera; Staphylinidae
Description: tRNA-Val
Source: RNAcentral
CAAAUUAAAGCUUUAUAAGCAUUUUAUUUACAUUAAAAAGAUACUAUUAAUCUUAGUUAAUUUGA